Molecule: ribosomal RNA, 451 nt
Filed under: uncultured bacterium
Lineage: Bacteria
Description: partial 16S ribosomal RNA
Rfam family: Bacterial small subunit ribosomal RNA
Source: RNAcentral
GAUGAACGCUGGCGGCGUGCCUAACACAUGCAAGUCGAGCGGCAGCGAGGGGUGCUUGCACCCUGUCGGCGAGCGGCGGACGGCUGAGUAACGCGUGGGAACGUGCCCCAAAGUGAGGAAUAACUGCCCGAAAGGGUAGCUAAUACCGCAUAUUAUCUUCGGAUCAAAGGAUUUAUCCGCUUUGGGAGCGGCUCGCGUCGGAUUAGGUAGUUGGUGAGGUAAUGGCUCACCAAGCCGACGAUCCGUAGCUGGUCUGAGAGGAUGACCAGCCAGACUGGAACUGAGACACGGUCCAGACUCCUACGGGAGGCAGCAGUGAGGAAUCGUCCACAAUGGGCGAAAGCCUGAUGGUGCAACGCCGCGUGCAGGACGAAGGCCUUCGGGUUGUAAACUGCUUUUAUAAGUGAGGAAUAUGACGGUAACUUAUGAAUAAGGAUCGGCUAACUACGUG